RNAcentral lists this small RNA (890 nucleotides) under Pongo abelii (Sumatran orangutan). Its description in RNAcentral is "processed transcript". Lineage: Eukaryota; Metazoa; Chordata; Mammalia; Primates; Hominidae. The record is from RNAcentral.
GCUGGCUGCCACCGUCCUGACCCUGGCCCUGCUGGGCAAUGCCCAUGCCUGCUCCAAAGGUACCUCGCACGAGGCAGGCAUCGUGUGCCGCAUCACCAAGCCUGCCCUCCUGGUGUUGAACCAAGAGACUGCCAAGGUGAUCCAGACCGCCUUCCAGCGAGCCAGCUACCCAGAUAUCACGGGCGAGAAGGCCAUGAUGCUCCUUGGCCAAGUCAAGUAUGGGUUGCACAACAUCCAGAUCAGCCACUUGUCCAUCGCCAGCAGCCAGGUGGAGCUGGUGGAAGCCAAGUCCAUCGAUGUCUCCAUUCAGAACGUGUCUGUGGUCUUCAAGGGGACCCUGAAGUAUGGCUACACCACUGCCUGGUGGCUGGGUAUUGAUCAGUCCAUUGACUUCGAGAUCGACUCUGCCAUUGACCUCCAGAUCAACACACAGCUGACCUGUGACUCUGGUAGAGUGCGGACGGAUGCCCCUGACUGCUACCUGUCUUUCCAUAAGCUGCUCCUGCAUCUCCAAGGGGAGCGAGAGCCUGGGUGGAUCAAGCAGCUGUUCACAAAUUUCAUCUCCUUCACCCUGAAGCUGGUCCUGAAGGGACAGUCCCCUGUGCCAGUUCCCAGCAUUGCCACCACCACGCAGCUGGAAGAAGGCACUGCCUCUGGCCUCCUUUCCCCUCUGGAAAGCACCUGCUCUGUCUGCCCCAGAUCUGCAAAGAGAUCAACGUCAUCUCUAACAUCAUGGCCGAUUUUGUCCAGACAAGGGCUGCCAGCAUCCUUUCAGAUGGAGACAUUGGAGUGGACAUUUCCCUGACAGGUGAUCCCGUCAUCACAGCCUCCUACCUGGAGUCCCAUCACAAGGGUCAUUUCAUCUACAAGAAUGUCUCAGAGGACCUCCC